This 468-nucleotide ribosomal RNA is filed under the name uncultured bacterium. Its description in RNAcentral is "partial 16S ribosomal RNA". It matches the Rfam family "Bacterial small subunit ribosomal RNA", at positions 28 to 507 of the family's 1533-position model. The record is from RNAcentral.
GACGAACGCUGGCGGCGUGCUUAACACAUGCAAGUCGAACGGAAAGGCCCUGCUUUUGUUUGGUUCUCGAUUGGCGAACGGGUGAGUAACACGUGAGUAACCUGCCCUUGACUUUGGGAUAACUUCAGGAAACUCCGGCUCAUACCGGAUAUGAUCUCCUGCUGCAUGGUGUGGGUUGGAAAGUUUCGGCGGUUUUGGAUGGACUCGCGGCUUAUCAGCUUGUUGGUGGGGUAGUGGCUUACCAAGGCUUUGACGGGUAGCCUGCCUGAGAGGGUGACCGGACACAUUGGGACUGAGAUACGGACCAGAAGCGUACGGGAGGCAGCAGGGGGGAAUAUGGCACAGUGGGCGGAAGCCUGAGGCAGCAACGCCGCGUGCGGGAUGACGGCCUUCGGGUGGUAAACCGAUGUCGCAUGUGACGAAGAGUGAGUGACGGUAAUGGGUAAAGAAGCACCGGCUAACUACGUG